GUUAGACUACAGUGAUGCCAUUUCCUUAUGUAAGCAUUUGACUUCAGAAAUUGAAACUGGCCAUGAUUAUUGAGUAGGCACGGCAGUUCAGCUGAAGGAUGAUCAAUGGACUUCAACUCAGAUGCAGAUCUUGACUGACAGAAGAUAAUUAUCAUUCAAGCUAAUGGGGAACUUGAAUUGGACUCAAUGGUGUUAGAAAGUGAAGAAAGGCUAAGUCUUCCUAAAUAAGAAAAAAAUAAUAAUAUCUUUGGAAAGGCAGUGGAAAUUUACAGGCACUGAAGGACCCUGUCAAAG
Molecule: long non-coding RNA, 294 nt
Filed under: Homo sapiens (human)
Lineage: Eukaryota; Metazoa; Chordata; Mammalia; Primates; Hominidae
Description: non-protein coding lnc-NXPH2-4:1
Source: RNAcentral